Molecule: unclassified non-coding RNA, 108 nt
Organism: Gorilla gorilla gorilla (western lowland gorilla)
Lineage: Eukaryota; Metazoa; Chordata; Mammalia; Primates; Hominidae
Rfam family: Y RNA
About the family: Y RNAs are components of the Ro ribonucleoprotein particle (Ro RNP), in association with Ro60 and La proteins. The Y RNAs and Ro60 and La proteins are well conserved, but the function of the Ro RNP is not known.
Source: Ensembl
GGCUUGUCCAGAGAUAACGCAUUAUCUCAAUUGAUUGUUCACAGUCACAGGUCGAACUUCUGUUCUACUCUUUUCCUCCUUCUCACUAUUGCACUUGACUAGUCUUAU